This 505-nucleotide ribosomal RNA is filed under the name uncultured bacterium. RNAcentral describes it as "partial 16S ribosomal RNA". It matches the Rfam family "Bacterial small subunit ribosomal RNA", at positions 28 to 507 of the family's 1533-position model. The record is from RNAcentral.
GACGAACGCUGGCGGCGUGCCUAAUACAUGCAAGUAGAAUGCACAGUUUAUACCGUAGCUUGCUACACCAUAGACUGUGAGUUGCGAACGGGUGAGUAACGCGUAGGUAACCUGCCUGGUAGCGGGGGAUAACUAUUGGAAACGAUAGCUAAUACCGCAUAAUAUUGAUUAUUGCAUGAUAAUUGAUUGAAAGAUGCUAUUGCAUCACUACCAGAUGGACCUGCGUUGUAUUAGCUAGUAGGGGAGGUAACGGCUCACCUAGGCGACGAUACAUAGCCGACCUGAGAGGGUGAUCGGCCACACUGGGACUGAGACACGGCCCAGACUCCUACGGGAGGCAGCAGUAGGGGAUCUUCGGCAAUGGACGAAAGGCUGACCGAGCAACGCCGCGUGAGUGAAGAAGGUUUUCGGAUCGUAAAGCUCUGUUGUAAGAGAAGAACGGGUGUGAGAGUGGAAAGUUCACACUGUGACGGUAUCUUACCAGAAAGGGACGGCUAACUACGUG